Non-coding RNA from Xylariaceae sp. FL1651, 92 nucleotides. The record is from the annotation of a GenBank genome assembly. Lineage: Eukaryota; Fungi; Ascomycota; Sordariomycetes; Xylariales; Xylariaceae.
GCACUGGUGGUGUAAUGGUAACAUCUAAGCUUCCCAUGUCUCUUCUAAGAAAUCGCCUGCUUAGGCCCCGGGUUCGAUUCCCGGCCAGUGCA